RNAcentral lists this antisense RNA (75 nucleotides) under Lentzea albida. RNAcentral describes it as "ASpks TB sRNA". It matches the Rfam family "ASpks TB sRNA". The record is from RNAcentral. Lineage: Bacteria; Bacillati; Actinomycetota; Actinomycetes; Pseudonocardiales; Pseudonocardiaceae.
CUUGAUCGACCCGACCCACAGCGGACUGUCUGCCUCGCGUUCCCGGCCGUACGUGGCGAGGAUCGCCUGCGCCUC